AAAAAGAUGCUUUCCCUUGGCUUCCGGUGGAUACUUUUUUUUUCCCUUUGAAAUGUGCAUGGAUGGUUCCCUUUCCUUUGGAAUGGAAUUCUACAAUCCUUUGUUCCAAACACAGCCACAGAAUUCCUUUUCAAAGGAAUGAAAGACUCCAAAAUUCCUUUGAAAAACCUUUGGUCCAAACAAGCACCGGUUUGGUAGCUUAGAGAUGGGAGUCAAUGUGACAUGGACUUUGGUAGAGUUUAU
Molecule: long non-coding RNA, 243 nt
Filed under: Setaria viridis
Lineage: Eukaryota; Viridiplantae; Streptophyta; Magnoliopsida; Poales; Poaceae
Description: long non-coding RNA (SVIR_LNC001146)
Source: RNAcentral